Molecule: ribosomal RNA, 570 nt
Filed under: uncultured Ascomycota
Lineage: Eukaryota; Fungi; Ascomycota
Description: eukaryotic LSU rRNA
Rfam family: 5.8S ribosomal RNA (bases 203-356)
Source: RNAcentral
CUUGGUCAUUUAGAGGAACUAAAAGUCGUAACAAGGUCUCCGUUGGUGAACCAGCGGAGGGAUCAUUACAGAGUUGCAAAACUCCCAACCCUUUGUGAACGAACCUACCAGUUGCCUCGGCGGCGAGCCUUUCAGGCGGACCGCCGAAGGAAUACAAACUCUUUGCAUUAUAGUAUCUCUGAUUACUUAUUCAAUAAAUUAAAACUUUCAACAACGGAUCUCUUGGUUCUGGCAUCGAUGAAGAACGCAGCGAAAUGCGAUAAGUAAUGUGAAUUGCAGAAUUCAGUGAAUCAUCGAAUCUUUGAACGCACAUUGCGCCCGCUAGUAUUCUGGCGGGCAUGCCUGUUCGAGCGUCAUUUCAACCAUCAAGCCCUAGGCUUGUGUUGGAGCCCUGCGGCUGCCGCAGCCUCCUAAAAACAGUGGCGGGCUCGCUAUUACACCGAGUGCAGUAGUUUACUCUUCGCUCAGGGCGUGUGGCGGGUGCUGGCCGUGAAACCCCCUACUUCUUAAGGUUGACCUCGGAUCAGGUAGGAAUACCCGCUGAACUUAAGCAUAUCAAUAAGCGGAGGA